GCAUAUCAAUAAGCGGAGGAAAAGAAACCAACAGGGAUUGCCUCAGUAACUGCGAGUGAAGCGGCAAAAGCUCAAAUUUGAAAUCUGACACCUUUGGGUGCCCGAGUUGUAAUUUGGAGAGGCAACUUCGAAGGAGGCGCUGGCCUAAGUUCCUUGGAACAGGACGUCGCAGAGGGUGAGAAUCCCGUGCUUGGCUGGCUGUCCUUCUUCAUGUGAAGUGUCUUCGACGAGUCGAGUUGUUUGGGAAUGCAGCUCAAAAUGGGUGGUAAACUCCAUCUAAGGCUAAAUAUUGGCGAGAGACCGAUAGCGCACAAGUAGAGUGAUCGAAAGAUGAAAAGCACUUUGAAAAGAGAGUUAAAAAGUACGUGAAAUUGUUGAAAGGGAAGCGCUUGAGACCAGACUCGGUGAUUGGUGAUCAGCGGUUGCUUUUGCUCCGUGCACUUGCCUUUCACUGGGCCAGCAUCAGUUGUGACGGCGGGAUAAAGACCGGGGGAAUGUGGCUCCCUUCGGGGAGUGUUAUAGCCCUGGGUGUAAUGCCGCCUGUUGCAACUGAGGACCGCGCUUCGGCUAGGAUGCUGGCAUAAUGGUCUUCAGCGACCCGUCUUGAAACACGGACCAAGGAGUCUAACAUCUAUGCGAGUGUUCGGGUGUAAAACCCCUACGCGGAAUGAAAGUGAACGGAGGUGGGAACUCCUUGGAGUGCACCAUCGACCGAUCCUGAUGUCUUCGGAUGGAUUUGAGUAGGAGCAUAGCUGUUGGGACCCGAAAGAUGGUGAACUAUGCCUGAAUAGGGUGAAGCCAGAGGAAACUCUGGUGGAGGCUCGCAGCGGUUCUGACGUGCAAAUCGAUCGUCAAAUUUGGGUAUAGGGGCGAAAGACUAAUCGAACCAUCUAGUAGCUGGUUCCUGCCGAAGUUUCCCUCAGGAA
This 926-nucleotide ribosomal RNA is filed under the name Galiella rufa. RNAcentral describes it as "eukaryotic LSU rRNA". It matches the Rfam family "Eukaryotic large subunit ribosomal RNA", at positions 38 to 979 of the family's 3401-position model. Lineage: Eukaryota; Fungi; Ascomycota; Pezizomycetes; Pezizales; Sarcosomataceae. The record is from RNAcentral.